This 403-nucleotide ribosomal RNA is filed under the name Verrucomicrobiota bacterium. RNAcentral describes it as "Verrucomicrobia bacterium partial 16S ribosomal RNA". It matches the Rfam family "Bacterial small subunit ribosomal RNA", at positions 355 to 776 of the family's 1533-position model. The record is from RNAcentral. Lineage: Bacteria; Pseudomonadati; Verrucomicrobiota.
UGGGGAAUCUUGCACAAUGGGGGCAACCCUGAUGCAGCGACGCCGCGUGAGCGAUGAAGGUUUUCGAAUCGUAAAGCUCUGUCCUAUGGGAAGAUAAUGACGGUACCAUAGGAGGAAGCCCCGGCUAACUACGUGCCAGCAGCCGCGGUAAUACGUAGGGGGCGAGCGUUGUCCGGAAUUACUGGGCGUAAAGGGUUCGCAGGCGGCAUGGCAAGUCCGAUGUAAAAGGCGAAGGCUCAACCUUCGUAAGCAUCGGAAACUGUCAAGCUUGAGUGAAGGAGAGGCAAGGGGAAUUCCUAGUGUAGCGGUGGAAUGCGUAGAUAUUAGGAGGAAUACCGGUGGCGAAGGCGACUUGCUGGACUUCAACUGACGCUGAGGAACGAAAGCGUGAGUAGCAAACAGG